GGGGUCGUAGCUCAGCUGGGAGAGCGUCUGCUUGACGUGCAGGAGGUCUGCGGUUCGAGCCCGCACGGUCCCA
RNAcentral lists this transfer RNA (73 nucleotides) under Lachnospiraceae bacterium. RNAcentral's name for it is "tRNA-Val". It matches the Rfam family "tRNA". From Rfam's summary of the family: Transfer RNA (tRNA) molecules are approximately 80 nucleotides in length. Their secondary structure includes four short double-helical elements and three loops (D, anti-codon, and T loops). Further hydrogen bonds mediate the characteristic L-shaped molecular structure. tRNAs have two regions of fundamental functional importance: the anti-codon, which is responsible for specific mRNA codon recognition, and the 3' end, to which the tRNAs corresponding amino acid is attached (by aminoacyl-tRNA synthetases). tRNAs cope with the degeneracy of the genetic code in two manners: having more than one tRNA (with a specific anti-codon) for a particular amino acid; and 'wobble' base-pairing, i.e. permitting non-standard base-pairing at the 3rd anti-codon position. RNAcentral also lists the same sequence under 1 other name. The record is from RNAcentral. Lineage: Bacteria; Bacillati; Bacillota; Clostridia; Lachnospirales; Lachnospiraceae.